Molecule: ribosomal RNA, 179 nt
Filed under: uncultured Streptococcus sp.
Lineage: Bacteria; Bacillati; Bacillota; Bacilli; Lactobacillales; Streptococcaceae
Description: partial 16S ribosomal RNA
Rfam family: Bacterial small subunit ribosomal RNA
Source: RNAcentral
UGACCUGGGCUACACACGUGCUACAAUGGUUGGUACAACGAGUUGCGAGUCGGUGACGGCGAGCUAAUCUCUUAAAGCCAAUCUCAGUUCGGAUUGUAGGCUGCAACUCGCCUACAUGAAGUCGGAAUCGCUAGUAAUCGCGGAUCAGCGCGCCGCGGUCGAAUACGUUCCCGGGCCUU